This 837-nucleotide ribosomal RNA is filed under the name Xanthoparmelia subramigera. Its description in RNAcentral is "partial large subunit ribosomal RNA". It matches the Rfam family "Eukaryotic large subunit ribosomal RNA", at positions 81 to 936 of the family's 3401-position model. Lineage: Eukaryota; Fungi; Ascomycota; Lecanoromycetes; Lecanorales; Parmeliaceae. The record is from RNAcentral.
CAGUAACGGCGAGUGAAGCGGCAACAGCUCAAAUUUAAAAUCUGGCUCCGUCGGGGUCCGAAUUGUAAUUUGUAGAGAGUGCUUCGGGCGAGGCCUCGGUCUAAGUCCAUUGGAACAUGGUGUCACAGAGGGUGAGAAUCCCGUAUGCGACCGUGGCUCGAGCCGAUGUGAAGCCUCUUCGACGAGUCGAGUUGUUUGGGAAUGCAGCUCAAAAUGGGUGGUAAAUUUCAUCUAAAGCUAAAUACCGGCUGGAGACCGAUAGCGCACAAGUAGAGUGAUCGAAAGAUGAAAAGCACUUUGGAAAGAGAGUCAAACAGUACGUGAAAUUGUUGAAAGGGAAGCGCUUGCAACCAGACCUGCCCGUAGGCGAUCAGCCGCUGUUCUCAGCGGUGUACUCGCUCUGCGAUCAGGCCAGCAUCGGUUUCGGCGGUCGGAUAAAGGCCUUGGGAAUGUAGCUUCUCUUCGGGGGAGUCUUAUAGCCCUCGGCGUAAUGCGGCCAGCCGGGACCGAGGACCGCGCUUCGGCUAGGAUGCUGGCGUAAUGGUUGUAAGCGACCCGUCUUGAAACACGGACCAAGGAGUCUAACAUCUAUGCGAGUGUUUGGGUGUCAAACCCAUGCGCGGAAUGAAAGUGAACGGAGGUGAGAACUCUUAAGGGCGCAUCAUCGACCGAUCCAGAAGUCUUCGGAUGGAUUUGAGUAUGAGCAUAGCUGUUGGGACCCGAAAGAUGGUGAACUAUGCCUGAAUAGGGUGAAGCCAGAGGAAACUCUGGUGAGGCUCGCAGCGGUUCUGACGUGCAAAUCGAUCGUCAAUUUGGGUAUAGGGCGAAAGACUAAUC